This 221-nucleotide long non-coding RNA is filed under the name Pelobates cultripes (western spadefoot toad). The record is from RNAcentral. Lineage: Eukaryota; Metazoa; Chordata; Amphibia; Anura; Pelobatidae.
CAUCCUUCUUGGGUACUAGCACUACCGGUGAUGCCCAGGGGCUAUCUGAAUGUUCGAUAACCCCUAACUGUAACAUUUCCUCAAUUUCUUUCCUCAUGUGCUCCCUUACUGCUUCAGGGAUACGAUACAGAGUCUGUCUCAUAGGGAGCUGUCCUGGGGUCUCUACUCGGUGGGUAGCUAACAGAGUGUACCCUGGUAAAUUGGAGAAGGUAGCACCUUUU